Molecule: small RNA, 28 nt
Filed under: Bombyx mori (domestic silkworm)
Lineage: Eukaryota; Metazoa; Arthropoda; Insecta; Lepidoptera; Bombycidae
Description: ovarian small RNA-25843
Source: RNAcentral
UCAGUUGAAUUUUCCGCUGAGAGAGCAA